Molecule: long non-coding RNA, 212 nt
Filed under: Sorghum bicolor (sorghum)
Lineage: Eukaryota; Viridiplantae; Streptophyta; Magnoliopsida; Poales; Poaceae
Description: long non-coding RNA (SBIC_LNC000530)
Source: RNAcentral
CCUCCACUCAUCUCCUUGCUUGAUCGCUAAUCUUAGUGAGAUUGAGUGAGAUUCAAGUGCAUUACAUUGAGAGUUGCAUCUAGUGGCACUUGAUCCUUGAGUUUGCUGCGGAUUUCUUGUUACUCUUGGGUGUUUUCUAACGCCCUAGAUAGCUUGGAGCAGCGGAGGUGUUGAGCUCAUGAUUGGAGAUUGUUUCGAGCCUCACCAAGUGA